UGAGUAUACAUGCCUCACCUGGCCUCACUUCACCUUACUUUACCUCACCUGCCCAGAGCUGACUAAAAUCACCUUGAAAACAUUUGAAUCAAGACACUGCAUAAAAAGAUGAAAUCAGCUGGCAGCACCCUCUGACCACCUUAAACUUCCCAGAGAGGCAAAGAAAGGGCAAGAGAUAAAAUUCGAUAGAUUGAGAUGCCCCCUUAGUCUGAAAAAAGUGCUUCUCAUCACCUGCCUUGGUUCUUUACAACCACUAUUAACGCCUCCCCAGUUCUCUUAUCAGAUCUGCAGCCAAUCAAACCCCUGCCCCCCGGGGCUUCUCUUCUUCCCUGACGCCAAAUUAAGCCUCUCUCCUUUUUGUAAUUUCCCUGCUUUAAUUCCUUAGGACUCUCCUGAGCUCAGAGCUUUCUCAAGAGCUCUUGAAUUUGGCCUCUCCCAUUCCUGAUUUGCAGCAGCGCUUUCUCUUCAUCUGUCGUCAGGAGAUCUGGAAGAAAUAUGCGAGCAUCUCUACCCUGGAUUUUUCUUUGUGGUGUUGUGUGUAUGUUUAAGAACUCAAAAUACCUCAGAGACCAUGAUGAUGGUGAAGCUGACGACGAAGGUGAUGAUGCCUCUGCUCUCUGCAAUGAUGCCUGGCAUUGAGUGAACAUUCCAUUCACUGUGCUCACCAACUGGAUACACGUGUCCUCUUAAUCCUCAGAGGCCACAAAGCCCUUUGGGCUUGGAGUAGGGAAGGCUACUUAUUGCAGUGACUGGUGUGUGAAGAUAAAUAGAAGGAAACUUAGAAAAUGAGGUAUCUCUGCACUGGUGCUGAAAUAGACCAUCAGCCAAGUAGCUUGAGACCUAUCCGAUAUUCUCUUUCUCUUGGACCACUUGCUCUGGGGGAAGCCAUCAGCCACGCUGUGAGGCAACCCAGUGGAGACAUCCAAGAAGCAAGGAAGCGAAGAAGGCCUCCAGCCAAGAGCUAGCAAGGAACUGAGGUCCUCAGUCCAACAACUGUGAGGAAUAGAGGCGCAUGUGAGUAGCUGAGAAGUGGAUACUUUUCUAAUUGUCUUCAGAUGAAACUAUGGCCCAUUGUGAACACAACCUCAUGAGAGACCUUAAAUCAGAGCCACCCAAGCUUGCCCUACCCAGAUUUCUGACUCGGAAAUUGUGAGAUAAUACAUGUUUGUUAAUUUUAGCUGUUAUGUUUGGGGGUGAUGUCUUACUCAAAGAUAGAUAACUAAUACAUCCCAGCACUUAAAAUAAUGCUCUGCAAAUACUGGUUGAAUGAAUGCAUGAAUAACAAAUAUAUGGCCAAAUGCAGAGGACAAAAGAAAGAAAAUACACAAAAUCAUUGACAGUGAUUGUCUCUGGAUAGAUUUGUAGGCCCAUGGGUGAUUAUUUUUAAGUAUUUAUCAUUCCCAUACUUUGCCCCAGCUUUUUAUUGUGAAAUAUAACACAAAGACAUAAAAUUGCAUAAAUAAACAGCUUGAUGGAGUUGAUUACAAAACCAGCAUGUAUGUAACCAGGUGAAAGAAUAGAGUAUUGCCUGCAGCACGGAAUCAUGAGAUUCUUUUUAAAAAUGUUUUUUUCUUCAUAUUCCCCCCAAAAUGUAUGUAUUACUUUCUCUGUCAAUUCUUUAAAAAAAUGUUUUUAUUGGGGGCUGGCCCCGUGGCCGAGUGGUGAAGUUCUCGCGCUCCGCUGCAGGCGGCCCAGUGUUUCGUUAGUUCGAAUCCUGGGCGCGGACAUGGCACUGCUCAUCAGACCACGCUGAGGCAGUGUCCCACAUGCCACAACUAGAAGAACCCACAACGAAGAAUACACAACUAUGUACGGGGGGGCUGUGGGGAGAAAAAG
Long non-coding RNA from Equus caballus (horse), 1836 nucleotides. The record is from Ensembl. Lineage: Eukaryota; Metazoa; Chordata; Mammalia; Perissodactyla; Equidae.